UAGGGAAUCUUCCACAAUGGGCGAAAGCCUGAUGGAGCAACGCCGCGUGUGUGACGAAGGGUUUCGGCUCGUAAAACUCUGUUGUUAAAGAAGAACAUAUCUGAGAGUAACUGUUCAGGUAUUGACGGUAUUUAACCAGAAAGCCACGGCUAACUACGUACCAG
Molecule: ribosomal RNA, 164 nt
Filed under: uncultured bacterium
Lineage: Bacteria
Description: partial 16S rRNA
Rfam family: Bacterial small subunit ribosomal RNA
Source: RNAcentral